This 76-nucleotide transfer RNA is filed under the name Microvirga aerilata. RNAcentral's name for it is "tRNA-Met". It matches the Rfam family "tRNA". Rfam says of the family: Transfer RNA (tRNA) molecules are approximately 80 nucleotides in length. The record is from RNAcentral. Lineage: Bacteria; Pseudomonadati; Pseudomonadota; Alphaproteobacteria; Hyphomicrobiales; Methylobacteriaceae.
GCUCCUGUAGCUCAAUGGUUAGAGCCGGCCGCUCAUAACGGUCUGGUUGGGGGUUCAAGUCCGUCCAGGCCCACCA